Molecule: ribosomal RNA, 634 nt
Filed under: uncultured bacterium
Lineage: Bacteria
Description: bacterial SSU rRNA
Rfam family: Bacterial small subunit ribosomal RNA
Source: RNAcentral
AGAGUUUGAUCCUGGCUCAGGAUGAACGCUGGCGGCAUGCCUAAUACAUGCAAGGCGAACGAGGAUCCAUCGGGAUCCUAGUGGCGAACGGGUGAGUAACACGUAGGGAACCUGCCCGCGCACCGGGAAUACGCUCUGGAAACGGAGAACAAAUCCCGAUGUACAGGAAGGAGGCAUCUUCUUUCUGUGAAACAUCCUGUAAGGGAUGGGGCGCGGAUGGACCUGCGGUGCAUUAGUUGGUUGGCGAGGGUAAAGGCCCACCAAGACGAUGAUGCAUAGCCGGCCUGAGAGGGCGGACGGCCACAUUGGGACUGAGACACGGCCCAGACUCCUGCGGGAGGCAGCAGUAGGGAAUUUUCGUCAAUGGGCGCAAGCCUGAACGAGCGAUGCCGCGUGAGUGAAGAAGGCCUUCGGGUCGUAAAGCUCUGUUGCGGGGGAAAAAAGGCAUCUGCAGGAAAUGGUAGAUGACAAAUGGUGCCCCGCCAGAAAGUCACGGCUAACUACGUGCCAGCAGCCGCGGUAAUACGUAGGUGGCGAGCGUUAUCCGGAAUGAUUGGGCGUAAAGGGUGCGCAGGCGGUCCUGCAAGUCUGGAGUGAAACGUAUGAGCUCAACUCAUGCAUGGCUCUGGAAACU